RNAcentral lists this ribosomal RNA (468 nucleotides) under uncultured bacterium. RNAcentral's name for it is "partial 16S ribosomal RNA". It matches the Rfam family "Bacterial small subunit ribosomal RNA", at positions 28 to 507 of the family's 1533-position model. The record is from RNAcentral.
GACGAACGCUGGCGGCGUGCUUAACUCAUGCAAGUCGAACGGAAAGGCCCUGCUUUUGUGGGGUGCUCGAGUGGCGAACGGGUGAGUAACACGUGAGUAACCUGCCCUUGACUUUGGGAUAACUUCAGGAAACUGGGGCUAAUACCGGAUAGGAGCUCCUGCUGCAUGGUGGGGGUUGGAAAGUUUCGGCGGUUGGGGAUGGACUCGCGGCUUAUCAGCUUGUUGGUGGGGUAGUGGCUUACCAAGGCUUUGACGGGUAGCCGGCCUGAGAGGGUGACCGGCCACAUUGGGACUGAGAUACGGCCCAGACUCCUACGGGAGGCAGCAGUGGGGAAUAUUGCACAAUGGGCGGAAGCCUGAUGCAGCAACGCCGCGUGCGGGAUGACGGCCUUCGGGUUGUAAACCGCUUUCGCCUGUGACGAAGCGUGAGUGACGGUAAUGGGUAAAGAAGCACCGGCUAAUUACGUG